UCUCCGUUGGUGAACCAGCGGAGGGAUCAUUACCGAGUGAGGGUCCUUGUGGCCCGACCUCCAACCCUUUGUGAACACAACUUGUUGCUUCGGGGGCGACCCUGCCGUUUCGACGGCGAGCGCCCCCGGAGGCCUUCAAACACUGCAUCUUUGCGUCGGAGUUUAAGUAAAUUAAACAAAACUUUCAACAACGGAUCUCUUGGUUCUGGCAUCGAUGAAGAACGCAGC
This 228-nucleotide unclassified non-coding RNA is filed under the name uncultured fungus. RNAcentral's name for it is "sequence contains ITS1, 5.8S rRNA gene". The stretch from base 180 to 228 matches the Rfam family "5.8S ribosomal RNA", at positions 1 to 49 of the family's 154-position model. The record is from RNAcentral. Lineage: Eukaryota; Fungi.